UCUGCAGUUCUCAAUGUGUUGUGUUCUUUCCAAUCAUGCUACCAACACAUCCAAAGUUUUUUGUUUCUUUCGUUUCUCGUUUUCUUUCAUGCAUUGCCACGAUCGCAAAUAUGCACUUAUUCUAACAACAUACACAAACACGGUCAUUUUUUAUUUCAUUAAAAACUUUAUUGAAACAUAAAUUACACUUUCACAACACAUUUAGAAUCAUUCAUACUCACGAAUGGCGUCAUACUGUAAAGUACCGGGUCGAGCCAAGCUGCGGGAGACUUGUCGACAAUCUGCGUUGCCUCUGUUCAGCAAAUUCUUACCUGUCGAUGCAUGCACUGCAUGUGCGUCUGUACACACUGUUCACUUCACACUUCAUCAAAACACACCGGCGCACGAGACUUUGACGAAAUGCGCAUCAACGCACAAACACUGCGCUCGGGACUUAGAACGAAACGCGCACAACCAUCUCCGACAAAGCGUCGCGCUGUACUGGUGGUUUUGUACGCGUAGGAGGGGGGACAUACGGAGCGAUGGUUCGAUGCUGUAGUGUAAGCGAGACAACACGAUGUGACGAGCAGCUCCAAGUUGAGCUCGCUGAAAGAAGACACACACACACAUUCACAGACGGCUCGUCAAAGCACGGUAUUUGUAUUGGUGUUAGUGAAACGCGCGUGUAAAACAGAAUGCGAACUCUCAUCGCAGCGCGUUUCUCCGUGCUUCCUCAAGCUUCCUCAUACCCCUCGGCCUGAAUCACUCAAAAUUUGGGGUCUCAUUGUUUGCGUGGAAUGCGAACUCUCAUCGCAGCGCGUUUCUCCUUGCUUCUUCAAGCUUCCUCAUACCCCUCGGCCUGAAUCACUCAAAAUUUGGGGUCUCAUUGUUUGCGUGGUAAGCACUGAGAGCAACCGGCCUAGCACAGCCCGUCUGGCAAAGUGAGUGUAUUUUUUGAGUGAUUUGAGUACCGUCCCCCGUUAGCAGUUCCCAGAUAGCAAAGCCGAAGGCCUUUGUAUGGGAGCCAUCGCGCUGAUCAAGGCUCACUUUUUCGCGCGCAUAAAGCAAAAUGUGUGCGAAGGCGAAAAAAACCCGAAAACGCUUCGUGUCCUCUCUCGUGUUUCUAGUUUUAUUCUGUCUCGCAUGUCAUCACUCUCUCCCAGUUUUUCGGAUUGAAAUGAGAAUUCACUCUCUUGAUUUGGUUGCGGCAGUCUAGCUGCUUCACACUCUUUAUUCUCUUCCCCGCUUGGCAAAGAGUAACUCAUUUUGAUGCCUCUCGCUACCCCUGGCCCUAGUUUUGAAGGAAUCAUGCGACACACUCGCACUCCACUACCCCAUCCCAUGGAAAAACGCUCCCACCAUCGAGGUGUUGACCAAAAUUUCGCUGUGUGCAUGAGACACACACUCGCACUCCUCCAGCCCUCCACAGCUGAACGCUCCUACCGUUGCGAAUUUGCGAGAAUUUUUGCUCUGAGCGUGAGACCCUGAAGCGCAAGAGAUGACACUAUGUGUAAAGACGAUCAUAAUUCGAUAUGGUCAAAAAGCGUCGAUUAUCGUUUCAUUUAUCUGGUAAUGAUGUUUUCACUUAAUCAAAAUUUUAAACAUUAACAACUAGGCUGAUAACAAUAAUUGAAAUGUAAAUCAGAAUAAAAUCAAUUCAUUUGAAGUAAAAUAAAUUCCAUUAUACUCUAUUUUGACCAUAUGAUCAACACUUGUUCAUAGUGCCAUUUACUUUGUGUUCUUCACUCUCGCGCUGUGUUGUGAUCGUUCGAAACUCAUUGCCAGAACGAAUGCAAAUUUCAUUUGGGAAGGAUUGGUGCUGCAAGAUGCAGCAAAAAUCAUUAAAUGUUAAUAGAAAAGUGGUUAAGUAAAUCGUGAAAGAUGUCAACGCAGGCGUAACUGCAGUUUGUUUUGUUACAUAAUCUACGGCUAUUUCAUUGCCAAAGCUCCUGAUAAUGGAUCAAAGCAGAUGGAUCGGGCAUACAGAGUCGCCAUUUAACAUUAAAUAUCUUCUUGAUCGGCAAACGCAUCAAACACCAAGUGUUUCUCUUCCAACAGCACGCGCCAUCGGUGGAGCAAGCAGCCAACGAUUUGAUCGCCAGUACGCGCCAUCAAGAAUUGAUAUUUUGCCAAACAGUACUGUGAAUAAAAAACUGCACACUUACUGUCCGA
Long non-coding RNA from Anopheles gambiae (African malaria mosquito), 2151 nucleotides. RefSeq lists it as uncharacterized. NCBI's taxonomy places the organism in Eukaryota, Metazoa, Arthropoda, Insecta, Diptera, Culicidae. The record is from RefSeq and is a predicted model, not a curated record. The transcript is spliced from 3 exons.